GACGAACGCUGGCGGCGUGCUUAACACAUGCAAGUCGAACGGAAAGGCCCUGCUUUUGUGGGGUGCUCGAGUGGCGAACGGGUGAGUAACACGUGAGUAGCCUGCCCUUGACUUUGGGAUAACUUCAGGAAACUGGGGCUAAUACCGGAUAGGAGCUCCUGCUGCAUGGUGGGGGUUGGAAAGUUUCGGCGGUUGGGGAUGGACUCGCGGCUUAUCAGCUUGUUGGUGGGGUAGUGGCUUACCAAGGCUUUGACGGGUAGCCGGCCUGAGAGGGUGACCGGCCACAUAGGGACUGAGAUACGGCCCAGACUCCUACGGGAGGCAGCAGUGGGGAAUAUUGCACAAUGGGCGGAAGCCUGAUGCGGCAACGCCGCGUGCGGGAUGACGGCCUUCGGGUUGUAAACCGCUUUCGCCUGUGACGAAGCGUGAGUGACGGUAAUGGGUAAAGAAGCACCGGCUAACUACGUG
Molecule: ribosomal RNA, 468 nt
Filed under: uncultured bacterium
Lineage: Bacteria
Description: partial 16S ribosomal RNA
Rfam family: Bacterial small subunit ribosomal RNA
Source: RNAcentral